This 573-nucleotide ribosomal RNA is filed under the name Candidatus Pelagibacteraceae bacterium. RNAcentral describes it as "bacterial SSU rRNA". It matches the Rfam family "Bacterial small subunit ribosomal RNA", at positions 1 to 560 of the family's 1533-position model. Lineage: Bacteria; Pseudomonadati; Pseudomonadota; Alphaproteobacteria; Candidatus Pelagibacterales; Candidatus Pelagibacteraceae. The record is from RNAcentral.
AUGGAGAGUUUGAUCCUGGCUCAGGACGAACGCUGGCGGCGUGCUUGAUACAUGCAAGUCAAGGAGAAAAUUUCCUUCGGGAAAUAAGUAAACUGGCGAACGGGUGAGUAACACGUAGGUAACCUGCCUUAGAGAUUGGGAUAACCCCGGGAAACCGGAGCUAAUACCGAAUAAUGCAACGAAUCCUUCGGGGUAUGUUGUUAAAGCGGGCUUCGGCUCGCACUUUAAGAUGGGCCUGCGUCCGAUUAGCUUGUUGGUGGGGUAAUGGCCUACCAAGGCGACGAUCGGUAGCUGGUCUGAGAGGAUGAUCAGCCACACUGGGAUUGAGAUACGGCCCAGACUCCUACGGGAGGCAGCAGUAAGGAAUUUUGCGCAAUGGACGAAAGUCUGACGCAGCAACGCCGCGUGAUCGAUGACGCUUCUAGGAGUGUAAAGAUCUGUCGUGAGGGAAGAAAAACUUGGAUGUAAAUAAUGUUCGAAUUUGACGGUACCUCACAAGAAAGCACCGGCUAACUUCGUGCCAGCAGCCGCGGUAAUACGAGGGGUGCUAGCGUUGUCCGGAAUUACUGGGCG